RNAcentral lists this ribosomal RNA (489 nucleotides) under Streptomyces sp. 313E08. RNAcentral's name for it is "bacterial SSU rRNA". It matches the Rfam family "Bacterial small subunit ribosomal RNA", at positions 93 to 596 of the family's 1533-position model. Lineage: Bacteria; Bacillati; Actinomycetota; Actinomycetes; Kitasatosporales; Streptomycetaceae. The record is from RNAcentral.
UAGUGGCGAACGGGUGAGUAACACGUGGGCAAUCUGCCCUGCACUCUGGGACAAGCCCUGGAAACGGGGUCUAAUACCGGAUAACACUGUCCCCCUCCUGGGGGACGGUUGAAAGCUCCGGCGGUGCAGGAUGAGCCCGCGGCCUAUCAGCUUGUUGGUGGGGUAAUGGCCUACCAAGGCGACGACGGGUAGCCGGCCUGAGAGGGCGACCGGCCACACUGGGACUGAGACACGGCCCAGACUCCUACGGGAGGCAGCAGUGGGGAAUAUUGCACAAUGGGCGAAAGCCUGAUGCAGCGACGCCGCGUNNNGGAUGACGGCCUUCGGGUUGUAAACCUCUUUCAGCAGGGAAGAAGCGAAAGUGACGGUACCUGCAGAAGAAGCGCCGGCUAACUACGUGCCAGCAGCCGCGGUAAUACGUAGGGCGCAAGCGUUGUCCGGAAUUAUUGGGCGUAAAGAGCUCGUAGGCGGUCUGUCACGUCGGGUGUC